Musa acuminata AAA Group (dessert banana) is the source of this 3223-nucleotide RNA transcript. It is a transcript of the gene named non-specific phospholipase C6-like, with no coding region annotated. The transcript has 4 exons. The record is from RefSeq and is a predicted model, not a curated record. NCBI's taxonomy places the organism in Eukaryota, Viridiplantae, Streptophyta, Magnoliopsida, Zingiberales, Musaceae.
UUAUGUAUUGUGAAGGUGUGCAACACUGUGAAGUGUCCUACAUACUUGAAACACUACAAUGGCAAGAUCUAAGGCUAUAGCUUCUCCUCCAUCCCUUCUUCUUCUUCUUCUUCUCCUCUUCCUGUGCGGCUCCCAUGCAGCGCAGCAGCCGAUCCGAGCCGUGGUGGUUCUCAUCAUGGAGAACCGCUCCUUCGACCACAUGCUGGGGUGGAUGAAGUCGGCCCUCGGCUUGCCCAUCGAUGGCCUCAGCGGCACCGAGUGCAACCGGCGGUCGGUCGCAGACCCCACCUCCCCCUCCAUCUGCGUCUCCGACGACGCCCGGUACGUCGACCCCGAUCCCGGUCACUCCUUCGUCGCCGUGCGGGAGCAGGUCUUCGGGUCGAGCAACAGCAGCGAAAGCACCGCCGUGCCUUCCAUGUCCGGCUUCGUCCAACAGGCCCUCUCCGUGUCCGAGGACCUCGCGGGCACCGUCAUGAAGGGGUUCAAGCCGGAGAACGUGCCGGUGUAUGCCGCCCUGACCCAGGAGUUCGCGGUGUUCGACCGGUGGUUCUCGUCGUUACCGGGGCCGACGCAGCCCAACCGACUGUUCGUCUACUCCGCCACCUCCCACGGCGCGACGUGCCACGACAAGGUGCAGCUGGCCAAGGGGUACCCCCAGAAGACCGUCUUCGACUCCCUCCACGACGACGGGCUGGAUUUUGGCAUCUACUACGAGAGCGCGCCGGCGACGCUGUUCUACCGCAACCUGAGGAAGCUGAAGUACGUAUUCAAGUUCCACAAGUUCGGGACGUUCAAGGAUCACGCCCGAGACGGCAAGCUGCGGAGCCUGAGCGUGCUCGAGCCGCGCUACUUCGACCUGCUCGGCAAGGCCGCCAACGACGACCACCCCUCGCACGACGUCGCCAACGGGCAGAAGAUGGUGAAGGAGGUGUACGAGGCGCUGCGGGCCAGCCCGCAGUGGAACGAGAGCCUGUUCAUCAUCACCUACGACGAGCACGGCGGCUUCUACGAUCACAUCGCCACGCCCACCGUCGGCGUUCCCAGCCCCGACGGCAUCGCCGGCCCUGCCCCCUACUUCUUCGGCUUCGAUCGGCUCGGCGUUCGUGUCCCCACCAUCCUCAUCUCCCCCUGGAUCAAGAAAGGCACAGUCGUGAGCAGGCCGCAGGGACCGGCACCGACGUCCGAGUUCGAGCACUCUUCGAUCCCUGCAACCAUAAAGAAGCUAUUCAACCUCACCUCAGAUUUCCUUACCCAGAGAGAUGCUUGGGCUGGCACAUUCCAGGACAUCUUCGGCGAUCUCACCUCACCAAGGACCGAUUGCCCUGAGGUGUUGCCGGAUGUGCCGCCUCUGAGGGCGACGAAGGCGAAGGAGCACAGAGUUGUGUCGGAGUUCCAGAGCGAGAUCGUCGAGAUGGCGGCUAUUCUCAACGGAGAUCAUCGCCUGACCAAACACGGGGACAAGACCAUCAAGCGAAUGACGGUGAGGGAGGCUGAUGCUUAUGUGAGCCACGCAGUUGCCAGGUUCUUUCGAGCGAGCAAAGAUGCCGUCGAGAAGGGAGCAGACGAAUCAAAGACAGUAGACAUGGCAGCAGCCAAGCAUGGUUGAUGGAAGGUUACAUGUUCUUGUAGUGGAGAUGAUGAGACUCAAGCAAUAAUCUUGUAGCUAGUAACAAGUGCUUGUCAUAUAGAGAGUACAAGUUUGCUUUCAGUGAUCCAAUGACAGUGAGCUUGGAGAUAAAAUUCAGAAGCUCCCUUGUCAUUUGCUUCACUGCUUCCUACUUACUGCGACCGAGAGGGAGUAGCAGAAGAGUGCGUUAACGCCAGUUUUGCUUUUAGCAGUCCUUGGGCGACAUGGGUGAGGUAUCAAGAUCACUCUUUUUACGGAUUUCUUAUUGGUUUUGGAUUGUUUUUUGCUGAUGAUUGCAGAAAGAUCUAAUCUUGAGCAAGAGGAGAAGCAGCUAGAGGAGGACGGGAAGAAAGAGUGGCGACCGGAGUAGGAGGAGGAGAAGGGAAAGAACGAUGGAAUUGGUGACGGGGGAAAAAGGAUGAAGAGAAGGUGGCAGAGAAGCCACCGCCUACCCCGCCGAAAAAAUGUCGACACGCAUUGUGAGGGAUGUGCGAGGAAGGUGCGGCGGUGCCUCAAUGGCUUACAAGGCAUAGAGAGAUCCGUAAAAAAAUCGAUGUUUGAUGUGUAUUUGGUCAGGUUUUUUAAAAUUGAUCCUAGAAUUGGAUCUUUUUGUGUUUGUUUGGAUCGGAAGGUGCUGAAGAGGUGGCGGCGGACAGCCGCACGCACCGUGUGGCGGUGAAGGGGAGGAAGGCCGCGGAGGAUCCGAUGAAGUGGUGGAGAGAGUCCAGAAGAAGAACGGAAGGAAAGUGGAACUGCUCAGCCCCCUGCCGCCACCGCCGCAGCCGGAGAAGAAGGAACAGGAGAAGCGAAGUGAGGAGAAGCACAAAGCAGAGGAGGAGAAGGAGGUGCGACAACCAAACCUACCUCUUCCUAAUUGUCUUCUCGGUCCUCCUCAAAACCUCUGCUUUUAUUUGAUGCAAGGCAGCCGCAAGUGAUCCUUGUUGUGCUCAGAGUCAACCUGCACUGCGACGCCUUCACCCAAAGAUCAAGAAAAGGAUUCUGAGGAUGAAAGGUUACACCUUUAAUUAGACUCCUUCAAAGGGUCCUGCGAGAACCAAACCUACCUCUUCUUCCCAAUCGUCUUAUUAUCUAUCUCUGCUUGUUUUGAACAUAUUUUGUAUUAAGGAGACUGAGAUGAAAGAUUACAUCUUUACAACCUUCUCUUUAUCAUUAAUCGUUUGAAAUAGUUCAUGUAAGACUCGAGAUUCUGAUCCAAAGCUUCGAUCUUUUCCAUUUGAUUUGGAAUGUAGCAAGAAAGGUGGGAUCUUUUUGGUGGAAACGGGGGUGCAGACGGCGGAGGCGACGGUGAAGGGCGUGUUCGACUCGGCGAGCCUGGUGGCGUACGUCCACAAGCGGCAAGCGGCGGUGGUGAAGCAGGAGACAGAGGAGAAGACCAAGGCGGCGGAGAAAGAGAAGAAGGCGGAGGGCGAGAAGGAUGUAAAGACGGAGAAUGGUUUGCCGUUCGAUCAGUGAACCCUUCCAAAUCAUUGACUAAUGCUUGGUGGGGGUUCAACAGGCUGCUCAGCUUGGAUUGUGGUCCUCAGGAUCAGAACACAAAUGAUUUCUUGCAGAUAAGCAUGGAUGAGGGUAUCUCCA